CACAAUUAAGUAGGAGGUCAGUUACUAUAAGCAUUUUAAUUGAAUUGUAGCUAGCAUUAAACGAGUUGAACUUUGGAUUAUAAAAGCUGGGAAGUUCCCAACGCAUUUGGAGAAAUAUUAACUGCUAUUAUCUCAGAAUCGUUAAGAACGCACAUGAUGUCACAUAACAGCAAACCAUAAAACUAAUAUAAAAAUCUUGGCAAAGAUCGUUGACAGUGAAUCGCAUACCCUUGCUAAUCGAGCUUAUACAAUAUUGAUGUUUUCGGGUUCAGCGGGCUAUCUCAACCGAUUGCUGAUCUACGCGAUGCCCGCGGCUUUUGCGUCAUUGUGUCAUCCAAAGGGUCAAGUGGAGCUCUUGGCAGUGUUAUUGUUGUUAGCCAAACGAGCCAUUUCCCGGCUCGUUUAUGGGGGGAAAUGACGUAGGAACCUUGAGUGGUUCGAAAGUGUUUGUCUUGUUCCAUGUGCCACUCGACCCCCAACACAGUUUAUGGCGCUGAUAAGCCACUAUUGAGUUAUGGAGCCCACCAUAUGGUACAACUUGAGCUCCUCAAUGGGGAUACUAAAAUAGGUUGUUUCAUAAUGGGAGAACUUGUUCUAGUUGAUUCGGAAAUCAGAAGCACGGUUUUCAAGUUCGUAAAUAGAUUUACAUAUGGAUUAAUGUCAAGAAACAGAAAAGUUCAUCAACAUUUGAUUGAGAUAUAAUAGAAUGAACUGUAAGUUAUGUUGGGUUGUAAAGUGUUUGGUGGCGCAAUCAUUGGUAUAUAAGUUCUUUAAUUCUUUAUCUUUAUUGUAUGUAUUUAUGGAACCUAUUUGUAAACCUAUGCUCUCACAUUGUACCCAUAAAAAUAGUAGUUUCGCGUGCGCCAUGUGCCUUGUGCCUUGUUGAUAAGAAAUCAAGUUCCCCGCAGUGCCACACGAACGUACUUUCCAAAUAUUUUGAUUAGAUGCAUGCCGAACGGCCUACAGCAGUGAUAAUGAUAAGGUUAUUCGAAACACUAGUGUUAUGUUCAUAAGGUCGCCAUAAUUGUGUAUUCCACAAAUUGACGUAAAGCGAAAAUCAGGCCAUCAGACAAGAUGAAACGCGGAAUAGCGAAAGCUAAGGUUGGGAUCCUAAGCCCCGGAAUUAUGUCACACGUCUAUUCUGUAUAAUCGCGGAAAAACCAUAGUUAGAAAACAAGUCACAUAACGAUCGCUUAUCAGUUAAACUAUUUAAAGCUGCUACGACAUUGAACACCACUAUUGUUCUGGAUGGAGUUUGGAACCACCAAGAACCCAUGGAGCACACGAAACUCGCGGGGGUUCCAAUUCCCGGUCUUGUAUCAAAUUUGUUUUCGCCAUUCCGCUUUUGAUUGCCAGCAACAAUAACAAACUAGAGAGGAAAGUGCUGGCAAACAGCAGCUGCGUGUAUAAAUGAGCUUUAUUUAUCAACGGAAACGGAAUCAGAAGAGUGGGCGUGGCCCCUGUGGGUUAAGCCAACUCGUUAAGCACCUUUCAACCUUUGAAGCGAAGUACACUAGCGGGUAGAACUGCACCUCAGCUCUAUUAAAAUGAUAUUAGGAUGAAAGUGAUGGAUUUAAUGACCCAUUGCACUGCAAUAUAAUUACAGAUGAUGGACUUGCAACUCAAAAAUGACUCCCUAAUUGGGUGAAAUAUAAUGAUGCUAUUAGAAAUCCCAAGUAA
Drosophila yakuba is the source of this 1680-nucleotide long non-coding RNA. RefSeq lists it as uncharacterized. The transcript has 2 exons. The record is from RefSeq and is a predicted model, not a curated record. NCBI's taxonomy places the organism in Eukaryota, Metazoa, Arthropoda, Insecta, Diptera, Drosophilidae.